Bombyx mori (domestic silkworm) is the source of this 1840-nucleotide long non-coding RNA. RefSeq lists it as uncharacterized. The record is from RefSeq and is a predicted model, not a curated record. The transcript is spliced from 2 exons. NCBI's taxonomy places the organism in Eukaryota, Metazoa, Arthropoda, Insecta, Lepidoptera, Bombycidae.
UAUCUAAUUUAACUUUUUUGUAUUCAUGUCUAUGAUAAUAAAAUCCUUUUGUUUAAACUUUAUCUAAUUUAACUUUAUUUAACCAAUUUCUAGAAAGUUGCAUGUAGAUCAUUUUUCGAAAAAUAAGGCCAUAAACAAGUUUCACUUCUUACGUGUGUACACUAGUACACGCACACAUUUUUUGUUGUUGUAUUAUCAUCAUUAAUCAUACUUAGGGUUAUCAGAUAGAGGUGUUAAAAAUAAAUAGUGGAAAUGUGAACCCGUUUUCUGUAUACGUCAACAAAACGAUAAUAAUAAUAACGGUGUUGAUGCAAAUAGAUCUAUCGCCCACGCCAAUAUUUAAUUGUAUCGGUCAGUACAUUCAUAUACAUACAUACCUAAUUUGUUUUUAAACUCAUUCUUGUGAAUUGAGUGAACUCAGUUUGGGUGAAUUUUAUAUCGUUGACGAUACUAUCCUGGGAACGCCGAUUGUCUGGCAAUGACCAGUGUACUUAAUAACUUCGAAAAUUGAAAUCAGAACAUCGCGUUUAAAAUCGGCGUGCAAGUGACAGCCAUGCUACGGAAAUGGAACUACUCCGGAGUUAGUGACAAUGAUGGCAGAAGUCGAUGUAAAGAUGGGUUGUAACGUAAAGAAAGAGAGCUGUGUUUUUGUAGCACAGAUCAUUAAAGCAUUAUAUUUUAUAUUACAUACAUAAUUCGACGCUUGAAAGGCAAAAGUGACUAAGCGACUAUAACUGCUUUGUACAUAAAUAAUAGGCAAUAACCAUAUUCGAUACGCAAAAAAUAUAUAUUUCUAGGUCUAUUAAAAUAAUUUCAAUCCUUCUGCUGCUACUAGCUAGAUUCUACUACAGCUAGAUUCGUUAAAAUAAAUUUUGUUUUCAGGUAUUUCAACUUUAAAUUAGUCUACUGUAAAGUUCACGCAUUGUCGCUUAGUCACGUUUGCCUUUCAAGCGUCGAUAUGCAUACAUUACAAUAAUUACAUAUUAUUAUUACUUUUGCUCGCGACUUUGUCCGCGUGGAAUAGUAACUUUGGAAUAACGGUAAAUUUUAUCCGCGACUUCAUUUACAUAGAAAGUGAAAAUAUUUUUGAAUAAUAAAAUGUUAAGGAGCUAUUUAAGAUACCAAAAUCACGCUUUUUAACCGAUUUCAAAAGAGGAGGCUAUCAAUUCGACCACCAUUUUUUUAUCUAUGUAUGUUUUAACGGAAAUAUAUGUAAUCCGUCAUUGUAUACAAUUCCUAGGAAAUGUAUGUAAUUCCUAAAAUCGCACGGAAAUGUGUGAAAUAAAUUAUAUAAUACUUACACAUUACACAUUUGCUAGGAAAUCUAUACAUUUCCUAAAUAGCAAUCGGAAAUGUAAAACAUUUAAGAUAUUGGUGGGUACGCGGGGACAGCGGGACGAGUCUUCCACUACGGUCAGUUGCCAACUUGCAAUCCACUGGACCGGCCAGGGAUUUAAGAAGUGCCUUUGCAAGAAAAACUGUGCUACAUCAAGAUGUCUGUGUUUUAAAAAUAAAGUAUUAUGUACUUCCAAAUGCCAUUCGAGCUUACCCUGCAAAAAUAAAUAAAAGCUAUAUGGACUGACAAAGUAUUAUAAUAUAAAGAUUUACUUUUAUACUUUGACAUUUAUAAUUACUUAAUUAUCAGACUGAUUACUUGCCAAAUGAAAAUUUGAUUUUAUAAGAAUAAAUAUAAGUUGAUUUUGUGAUACGUUAAAAGUUAAUAAAUAGUUGAUUUUAGAAGUUUUAAUUAGUAAGAUAAUAUGAAUAUAUUAUUAUUAUUUUACGGUAUGACUGUUACCCGAUUGUCUCAAUAAGUGUUAUAAUAAAAAAAUAUUCUUAA